CCCAAGUAAAGAAAGUGGAAGCAAUCCGCGAUUGGCCCCGGCCCCGUAAAAAAAAGCAGGUGACGUGGACCGAGGAGACGGAGAAAGCCUUCCAGAACCUGAAGGGAGCGCUGUGUUCGAGACCCGUACUAGUGACCCCGGACUUCUCCAAACCACUGGUGGUACAGACGGAUGCAUCCGAAUCUGGGGUUGGUGCAGUCUUAUCAAAGCUACAAGAAGGUGAGGAACAUCCAGUAUUGUACAUUAGCCGGAAGCUUUUGCCACGAG
This is a long non-coding RNA of Gasterosteus aculeatus aculeatus (three-spined stickleback), 267 nucleotides long. NCBI's taxonomy places the organism in Eukaryota, Metazoa, Chordata, Actinopteri, Perciformes, Gasterosteidae. The record is from Ensembl.